CCUACGGGGGGCAGCAGGCGCGAAACCUCCGCAAUGUGAGAAAUCGCGACGGGGGGAUCCCAAGUGCCAUUCUUAACGGGAUGGCUUUUCAUUAGUGUAAAGAGCUUUUGGAAUAAGAGCUGGGCAAGACCGGUGCCAGCCGCCGCGGUAACACCGGCAGCUCUAGUGGUAGCAGUUUUUAUUGGGCCUAAAGCGUCCGUAGCCGGUUUAAUAAGUCUCUGGUGAAAUCCUGCAGCUUAACUGUGGGAAUUGCUGGAGAUACUAUUAGACUUGAGAUCGGGAGAGGUUAGAGGUACUCCCAGGGUAGAGGUGAAAUUCUGUAAUCCUGGGAGGACCGCCUGUUGCGAAGGCGUCUGACUGGAACGAUUCUGACGGUGAGGGACGAAAGCUAGGGGCGCGAACCGGAUUAGAUACCCCAGUAGUC
RNAcentral lists this ribosomal RNA (424 nucleotides) under uncultured Eubacterium sp. Its description in RNAcentral is "bacterial SSU rRNA". It matches the Rfam family "Archaeal small subunit ribosomal RNA", at positions 322 to 746 of the family's 1478-position model. The record is from RNAcentral. Lineage: Bacteria; Bacillati; Bacillota; Clostridia; Eubacteriales; Eubacteriaceae.